This 2155-nucleotide long non-coding RNA is filed under the name Triticum aestivum (bread wheat). RNAcentral's name for it is "long non-coding RNA (TAES_LNC001682)". Lineage: Eukaryota; Viridiplantae; Streptophyta; Magnoliopsida; Poales; Poaceae. The record is from RNAcentral.
UUUUUUAGAAACACAGAAAACAAAUUAUUUUAGCAUUCGAUCCUUUGUUUUAUCACUAGCAGAAUGUUCCUCUCGUAUGUAUUAACACAAGCACCUUUGUGUGCUACAAAUGACAUCCAUGCACGAGGCACUCGAAUCACAAUAUUAAUAAAUAAUUUGGGUACAAAUCAAGCAAAGAAAUAAAUAGUGAACACAUGAGGUCAUGCGCCCGUUAACCACAAUGAAAUAAUACUAAUGAGUACAAACUAAUUUCACAAAUCUGUACCAUAGCAUGGAUCUCCCGUGGAUAUGUUCAGUUGUACCACUCAAUGAAGAACGCAUAACAAAAACUAUAGGAGAGAUCAAUAGAGGUUAAGCGAUAAAAAUUCAAGCUUUUCCCCAUAAUUGCACUACACAUGUUCAGAUUUUUCACCAGUAUUUUUAAGUGUGCUGCCAUCUGAACCUUUGACAUUUCCUUCUUAUAUAAAUGAUCUUGAACCCCCUAGAAACUUGUGAGAUAUGAUCGCAUCUCUCGAAAGCCAUCGAUCGCUUUAGAACAAUUCCUGAAAUCCUCUCACACCGUGCAUAAAACUUGGCCUUCGGUCCCAAUAAUAAUAUUUUGGGAUCCUUCUUCAAUCGCCAUCAACAUUGUUGUCCCUGUCGGUCAGCUAUCAACUUACGGUUCCGAACAUACUAGCUUUGGCAAAAUGUGUACGAACUGCUAAAGAAACUAAAGAUCGUUGGCGAACAACAUCGGGUAGUACUUUGUUGUCUUUGAACUUCAUGGUUUCUUGAUUCUGAACUUGCGAUUUAUUUAAUUUUUUGUAGGGUGCAGGGAGACUGCCGGUGUUCGGAAGCCGGGCUUUGUUCCCUCAAGUAGUCGCGUCCACUGCCGCACAGGACGGUGAGCAGGGGAGGAAAGACAGACAGACCUGGCAACAAGCACUAUAAGAUGAUGAAUACAAUGAAUCAUCUACUUAUAAGUUCAGCAAAAAAAAAUAUAAGCACAUCAGACUAUGUAUGUCACAGCGUGAAGCAAAGGAAAAUCAAAGUGAACACUUAGCUACAAUAGUUUUCUUACAUAUAUGAACGCAAACACAUCCUAGGCAAAGAAAUGCUGGGAAUAUCUAAAUCAAAACAGAAGCACUAGUAGAUGUUGUGUUUCAAUGCACUGCUACAUCUCGUUUUUUUCUCUUUUUCUUUUCCUAUUUUCUAGCCAAUUAUAAAGUGCUUAUAGAAAAAUUACAACUUUUCCCCACUCCACGAUAUAAGUGCUUGGGAUGGAGGUAUUUUGCGCAGUAAAUAAUUGGGCAAAUAAUAGAACAUGAACAAAGAAAAAUUAAACCAAAGGGAAACACGAUUACACAACAGUUCUAUCUUCAGCUAGCCAUUUUAUCAAACAUGUCUUGUGCACCUUUUGGUUUGGCGCAAGAAACAUAGGGAAGGAGGCGAGCAAGAGUAGAUUGGAAAGGGAGGUGGCAGGACUGUGCUAGCAGUAGUUGUUGCUCCUUGUGUGUCACUGUGAAGCUGGAGUACAGAUGGACGGCUUACCUCUUCAUCAACGUGUGGGAGAAGUGGCUACGGUGUGGCACGCAGGCGACGCCCGGGGUGUGGAGGCGCUGGGUGGAGCAGUUCGUGGCAGCGCGUGCGAGCAGUCCGUGGCAGCGCGUGCGAGCAGUCCAUAUACUACACAUGCUCUGUAUCUCCCUCUAUUCUUGCUUAUCCAUCAAAAUCAAGGCGUUGACUUCAUUAGGAGAAAAACAAAACUAGCAUUGGCAGAAAGCGUAGUGGUAGCAUUAGCAAGAAAGGCUACCUCUUGCAUCUUCAGGCUGGUGGAGCUUCACCCAGCAGCAGCUGGCCAGGACGAGAUUGCGUGCACCCUGCGAGCCAGAUCCCCGGAAGGUGGAGGUGGGCUUUGCGAGGUCAACCAGCAGGUGAAGGUUCAUGGGUUGGGGGCGGCGCGUCGGCAUGUGGAUGCGAUGUGGAGUAGCAAGAACAAAAGAUUGGAUCAAGGAAGGGGCAAACAGAGUUUGCGAUUGCAAUAAAAAUGAAACUAGCAAAUUGAGGGGCUCGUCCUAGUUGUGGUUGUAGGCUCGAUGGCCUUCUGCAGUGCUCCAUCGAGGAAGCUGCCGGUCUCCUUCAGCUAUGAGUCAGGGAGAGCAACCCCCGGUGACUG